UGGGGAAUUUUGGACAAUGGGCGCAAGCCUGAUCCAGCCAUGCCGCGUGCAGGAUGAAGGCCUUCGGGUUGUAAACUGCUUUUGUACGGAACGAAAAGGUGCCUUCUAAUAAAGGGCGCUCAUGACGGUACCGUAAGAAUAAGCACCGGCUAACUACGUGCCAGCAGCCGCGGUAAUACGUAGGGUGCGAGCGUUAAUCGGAAUUACUGGGCGUAAAGCGUGCGCAGGCGGUUUUGUAAGACAGAGGUGAAAUCCCCGGGCUCAACCUGGGAGCUGCCUUUGUGACUGCAAGGCUGGAGUGCGGCAGAGGGGGAUGGAAUUCCGCGUGUAGCAGUGAAAUGCGUAGAUAUGCGGAGGAACACCGAUGGCGAAGGCAAUCCCCUGGGCCUGCACUGACGCUCAUGCACGAAAGCGUGGGGAGCAAACA
Molecule: ribosomal RNA, 427 nt
Filed under: uncultured bacterium
Lineage: Bacteria
Description: bacterial SSU rRNA
Rfam family: Bacterial small subunit ribosomal RNA
Source: RNAcentral